This 429-nucleotide ribosomal RNA is filed under the name Chloroflexota bacterium. RNAcentral describes it as "Chloroflexi bacterium partial 16S ribosomal RNA". It matches the Rfam family "Bacterial small subunit ribosomal RNA", at positions 355 to 776 of the family's 1533-position model. The record is from RNAcentral. RNAcentral also lists the same sequence under 1 other name. Lineage: Bacteria; Bacillati; Chloroflexota.
UAGGGAAUCUUCGGCAAUGGACGAAAGUCUGACCGAGCAACGCCGCGUGAGUGAAGAAGGUUUUCGGAUCGUAAAACUCUGUUGUUAGAGAAGAACAAGGACGUUAGUAACUGAACGUCCCCUGACGGUAUCUAACCAGAAAGCCACGGCUAACUACGUGCCAGCAGCCGCGGUAAUACGUAGGUGGCAAGCGUUGUCCGGAUUUAUUGGGCGUAAAGCGAGCGCAGGCGGUUUCUUAAGUCUGAUGUGAAAGCCCCCGGCUCAACCGGGGAGGGUCAUUGGAAACUGGGAGACUUGAGUGCAGAAGAGGAGGGUGGAAUUCCAUGUGUAGCGGUGAAAUGCGUAGAUAUAUGGAGGAACACCAGUGGCGAGGGCGGCUCUCUGGUCUGUAACUGACGCUGAGGCUCGAAAGCGUGGGGAGCAAACAGG